RNAcentral lists this ribosomal RNA (468 nucleotides) under uncultured bacterium. RNAcentral describes it as "partial 16S ribosomal RNA". It matches the Rfam family "Bacterial small subunit ribosomal RNA", at positions 28 to 507 of the family's 1533-position model. The record is from RNAcentral.
GACGAACGCUGGCGGCGUGCUUAACACAUGCAAGUCGAACGGAAAGGCCCUGCUUUUGUGGGGUGCUCGAGUGGCGAACGGGUGAGUAACACGUGAGUAACCUGCCCUUGACUUUGGGAUAACUUCAGGAAACUGGGGCUAAUACCGGAUAGGAGCUCCUGCUGCAUGGUGUGGGUUGGAAAGUUUCGGCGGUUGGGGAUGGACUCGCGGCUUAUCAGCUUGUUGGUGGGGUAGUGGCUUACCAAGGCUUUGACGGGUAGCCGGCCUGAGAGGGGGACCGGCCACAGUGGGACUGAGAUACGGCCCAGACUCCUACGGGAGGCAGCAGUGGGGAAUAUUGCACAAUGGGCGGAAGCCUGAUGCAGCAACGCCGCGUGCGGGAUGACGGCCUUCGGGUUGUAAACCGCUUUCGCCUGUGACGAAGCGUGAGUGACGGUAAUGGGUAAAGAAGCACCGGCUAACUACGUG